AGGGCGCAGGGCGAAUGCCUUGGCACCAGGAGCCGAAGAAGGACGUGGUAAGCUGCGAAAAGCUGCGGAGAGCUGCAAACGAGCGAUGAACCGCAGAUGUCCGAAUGGGGCAACCCACAUGGAGUCAUGUCCAUGUACCAUACGCUGAAUCCAUAGGCGUAUGGGGGGAACCACCUGAACUGAAACAUCUAAGUAGGGUGAGGAAAAGAAAUCAACCGAGAUACCGCAAGUAGCGGCGAGCGAACGCGGCAGAGGCCAAACCGGAAGCAGAAAUGCUUUCGGGGUUACGGACUGUCAAAAGAGGCUGGAAGAUAGCCGAAAUGCAUGGGAAGGCAUAUCGGAGAGUGUGAGAAUCACGUAGGCGAAAUCGAAAAGCCGCGGACAGGAUCCAGAGUACAGCGGGACACGUGAAACCCCGUUGGAAGUAGGGGGGACCACCCUCCAAGCCUAAACACUACCUGGUGACCGAUAGAGGAAAGUACUGUGAAGGAACGGUGAAAAGGACCCCGGGAGGGGAGUGAAAGAGAACCUGAAACCCUGUGCCUACAAGCACAUAGAGCCCGUCAAAGGGUGAUAUGGUACUUUUUGUAGAACGGUCCGGCGAGAGCGUGUAUGCAGCGAGGUUAAGGACUUAAGGUCCGCAGCCGAAGCGAAAGCGAGUCUGAAAUGGGCGCAAAGUUGCAUGCAUGAAGCCCGAAACCGAGUGACCUAUCCAUGGUCAGGCUGAAGUGGGGGUAAAACCCCAUGGAGGGCCGAACGCACUCCCGUUGAAAUGGUAGGCGAUGAACUGUGGAUAGCGGAGAAAUUCCAAUCGAACUCGGAGAUAGCUGGUUCUCCCCGAAAUAGCUUUAGGGCUAGCCUCAAUGAUCAUUACUGGAGGUAAAGCACUGAAUUGGGAAGGGGUCGAGAGAUUACUGAACCAUAUCAAACUAAGAAUGCCAGAUAAUGUAACAUUGGGAGUCAGACAGUGUCAGAUAAGUGUCAUUGUCGAGAGGGAAACAGCCCAGACCCACAGCUAAGGUCCCAAAGUAUGGUUAAGUGGAAAAGGAUGUGGAAUUGCAUAAACAACCAGGACGUUGGCUUAGAAGCAGCCACACAUUUAAAGAGUGCGUAAUAGCUCACUGGUCUAGUGAAUCUGCGCCGAAAAUGUAACGGGGCUAAACCAUACACCGAAGCUUGGGCAUCCGCAAGGAUGGGUAGGGGAGCGUCGUAUUCUGGGGUGAAGUCAGAGCGAAAGCGCUGGUGGACUGAAUACGAGUGAGAAUGCCGGAAUGAGUAGCGAGAAUAGAGUGAGAAUCUCUAUGGCCGAAAACCUAAGGAUUUUGGAGGAAGGCUCGUCCGCUCCAAGUUAGCCGGGGGCUAAGGCGAGGCCGAAAGGCGUAGUCGAUGCACAUACGGUGGACAUUCCGUAGCCGCCGAAAGAUUUAAACUAAGGGACACUUCUGGGAAGGAUGACCCGGGCGUUGGUUGACCCGGGCGAAAGGGACCGAAAACUAAGUAGGGAAGCAUCUGGAACGGGAGGCGAGAAAAGCUUAGUGAAUAUCUAAGGCGCCCGUACCGCAAACCGACACAGGUAGGAAGGAAGAGGAUUCUAAGGCCAACGGGAGAAGGGUUGUUAAGGAACUCGGCAAAUUGACCCCGUAACUUCGGAAUAAGGGGUGCUCUCCUCACGAGAUGAGGGAGCCGCAGAGAAUAGAGCCAAGCGACUGUUUAUCAAAAACACAGGUCUGUGCUAAAUCGUAAGAUGACGUAUACGGGCUGACGCCUGCCCAGUGCCGGAAGGUUAAGGGGAUGUGUGAGAGCAUUGAACCGAAGCCCCGGUUAACGGCGGCCGUAACUAUAACGGUCCUAAGGUAGCGAAAUUCCUUGUCAGGUAAGUUCUGACCCGCACGAAUGGCGUAACGACUUGGUUACUGUCUCAACAGCCCGCCCGGCGAAAUUGUAGUACCGGUGAAAAUGCCGGUUACCCGCGACAAGACGGAAAGACCCCAUGGAGCUUUACUGUAACCUAAUAUUGGGUUUCGGUGUUGUAUGCACAGGAUAGGUGGGAGCCUGGGAAGGCCGGACUUUGGUCCGACUGGAGGCAACCUUGGGAUACCACCCUUAUAAUAUUGGAAUUCUAACCAACGGCCGUGAAUCCGGCCGGGGGACAUUGUUAGGUGGGCAGUUUGACUGGGGCGGUCGCCUCCAAAAAAGUAACGGAGGCGCUCAAAGGUUGGCUCAGCAUGGACGGAAACCAUGCCAUAGAGUGUAAACGCGGAAGCCAGCCUAACUGCGAGACCGACAGGUCGAGCAGUAACGAAAGUUGGAGUUAGUGAUCCGGUGGUAUGUGAGUGGAAAUGCCAUCGCUCAACGGAUAAAAGUUACCCUGGGGAUAACAGGCUGAUCUCCCCCAAGAGUCCACAUCGACGGGGAGGUUUGGCACCUCGAUGUCGGCUCAUCGCAUCCUGGGGC
Molecule: ribosomal RNA, 2454 nt
Filed under: gut metagenome
Description: bacterial LSU rRNA
Rfam family: Bacterial large subunit ribosomal RNA
Source: RNAcentral